GACGAACGCUGGCGGCGUGCCUAAUACAUGCAAGUAGAACGCUGAAGGAGGAGCUUGCUUCUCUGGAUGAGUUGCGAACGGGUGAGUAACGCGUAGGUAACCUGCCUGGUAGCGGGGGAUAACUAUUGGAAACGAUAGCUAAUACCGCAUAAUAGUAGAUGUUGCAUGACAUUUGCCUAAAAGGUGCAAUUGCAUCACUACCAGAUGGACCUGCGUUGUAUUAGCUAGUUGGUGGGGUAACGGCUCACCAAGGCGACGAUACAUAGCCGACCUGAGAGGGGGAUCGGCCACACUGGGACUGAGACACGGCCCAGACUCCUACGGGAGGCAGCAGUAGGGAAUCUUCGGCAAUGGACGGAAGUCUGACCGAGCAACGCCGCGUGAGUGAAGAAGGUUUUCGGAUCGUAAAGCUCUGUUGUAAGAGAAGAACGAGUGUGAGAGUGGAAAGUUCACACUGUGACGGUAGCUUACCAGAAAGGGACGGCUAACUACGUG
RNAcentral lists this ribosomal RNA (495 nucleotides) under uncultured bacterium. RNAcentral describes it as "partial 16S ribosomal RNA". It matches the Rfam family "Bacterial small subunit ribosomal RNA", at positions 28 to 507 of the family's 1533-position model. The record is from RNAcentral.